UUUCCCUCCACUUCAACUUCAAGUUUUACUCACUCAUCAUCAUCAAAAUCAGAAUCCUCAGACGCCUCAUCAUCAACCUCUUCAUCCUCUUCCUCAGAAUCACUGAUCACAUACGUCAUCUUCUUUCUGUUAGCCCUUUGCGGCCUCGCUUUUGCACCAACUUCACCGCUCGAUUCUCCAACAACCAUCUCGUCCUCUUCUUUCUCCUCCUCCCCUUUCUUGUUCAACACAGACCCGCUUUUCUUGUUAAACGGCGACGGCCUCAUCUUCCUCACCUUCUUCUCAGGUGAUGCUUCCACCACUGGCUUCAACACUUCAGUAAUCAGCUUCUGUCCACCAGUUUGUUUUGACGUCUUCGCGGCUGCACCAGCAGCCGCCCCUCUUUUCUUGGUUGCUGCUGCUGCUGGAGGCUUGGCUGCAGCCGGUUUGCGACCGCCUUUCUUUUUCUCCUCAGGUGGUGCUACUAGAACUUCGAAGUCAGAAUCGUCGCUCAAGUCAAUAUCCUCUUCAUUUUCGUCAUCAGAGAUGAUGGUGGUGGCCUUCUUCUUGGCAGCAGCAAUUCUUUUAGCAGGAGAUGAUUCAAUGUUAUGUUUAGCUAAUCGAUCUUCCAGCUCAACGAUUUCAUCAUCCUGAACAGAAUGCAAGUUUUGUUGAGCCAUACGCUCUGCGAGUGAAGGGAUUUCGUCAUCGUCUUCAUCUACCAAAGUAGCUUUCCCCUGAUCACCGAUAUAAACGGU
This 737-nucleotide long non-coding RNA is filed under the name Helianthus annuus (common sunflower). RNAcentral's name for it is "hypothetical non coding rna". The record is from RNAcentral. Lineage: Eukaryota; Viridiplantae; Streptophyta; Magnoliopsida; Asterales; Asteraceae.